Molecule: ribosomal RNA, 639 nt
Filed under: Listrocerus sp. 1186
Lineage: Eukaryota; Metazoa; Arthropoda; Insecta; Coleoptera; Melyridae
Also listed under: 1 other name
Description: eukaryotic LSU rRNA
Rfam family: Eukaryotic large subunit ribosomal RNA
Source: RNAcentral
GGAGUCUAGCAUGUGCGCGAGUCAUUGGGACACGACUAAACCUAAAGGCGCAAUGAAAGUGAAGGUCCGCCUCGCGCGGACCGAGGGAAGAUGGGCGUCCCGCUUCGCGGCGGUCGUCCCGCAUUCCCGGGGCGUCUCGUUCUCAUCGCGAGAAGAGGCGCACCAAGAGCGUACACGCUGGGACCCGAAAGAUGGUGAACUAUGCCUGGUCAGGACGAAGUCAGGGGAAACCCUGAUGGAGGUCCGUAGCGAUUCUGACGUGCAAAUCGAUCGUCGGAACUGGGUAUAGGGGCGAAAGACUAAUCGAACCAUCUAGUAGCUGGUUCCCUCCGAAGUUUCCCUCAGGAUAGCUGGCGCUCGUCGCCAACGAGUCUCAUCCGGUAAAGCGAAUGAUUAGAGGCAUUGGGGCCGAAACGGCCUCAACCUAUUCUCAAACUUUAAAUGGGUGAGAUCUCCGGCUUGCUCGAACCGAUGAAGCCGCGAGACACGGAUCAGAGUGCCAAGUGGGCCAUUUUUGGUAAGCAGAACUGGCGCUGUGGGAUGAACCAAACGCCGAGUUAAAGCGCCUAAAUCGACGCUUAUGGGAUACCAUGAAAGGCGUUGGUAACUUAAGACAGCAGGACGGUGGCCAUGGAAGUC